This is a long non-coding RNA of Marmota monax (woodchuck), 2617 nucleotides long. RefSeq lists it as uncharacterized. The transcript has 3 exons. Lineage: Eukaryota; Metazoa; Chordata; Mammalia; Rodentia; Sciuridae. The record is from RefSeq and is a predicted model, not a curated record.
AACGUCUUCAGUUCAUUUCAAUGCCGUCCCCAUCAGUUCCGCUCCAGUGCUGCAGCAGACAUGGUAUGGGGUACAAAAGGGGCACAUGCCCUCCAUCCUCGGUGGGUCUACAAAACUUGUUGGAGAGACGAGUUUAACCACAGGAACCAUCUGAGAACAAUACAACCCAGCAUCUGGUUAAAUGGGAGAAGAUCUGCAGAUUCCAUAGAGCUGGCAUGGAGCUGGAUAUCUUUCAGGAGGUAGAGUUUGCAUUAAAACACAUAACCACAACAAAGCAAGAGAAAGAGAGCAAUUGAUAAAACAGAGAUGGAGGCAGGCAUUCCAACAGCCACAUUGGAGCCUGCAGUGACCUUGAAGAUGUAUCCAUGUGCUGAAGAUGAUGGAGAAGAGAACAUGUGGCUGAGUCCCUGCUAACUAUGUAUCUGUCAUCACCUCUUUGGGCUGCCAUGCAAGGAAGGCCUCUUUGGAAAGUGAAAAAAUAAACUUAUAUGUCACUAAGUCACUUACUAAACUAGUGUUAUAUGCAGCUGAACUUAAUAACUGACACAUAUUCUGAAGAUGCUUGUUUUUCUCCUAUGGGUUUGGAACAGGUUAGCUAGUAAAGAUGAAAAUGGUGAUAAUGAUACUUGUCCCUCUGCUGGCUAGUGGGGAGAGGAAGCACUCAAUUGCUUUGGCCUUCCUCACUCAUCUGUCUUGUUGCUGUGAAGGGGGUCAAGGGCAUCCUCCAGUGGAGACAGAGCACAGGGAAGGCUCUGUCAUGGAUUGUCCUUGGCUCCAACUAUGCCACUGUGCUCUGUUGGUGACUGGGGAGGAGCCUGGUUAUACACAAAGACAACAAAAGGAGACAAAAUAGUUCUCCUUGGAACUAGACAGAAGAGAGAAUGAGAUUAAUUACAGAUUCAUUUUUGGCCAAAUCUUGCACUUAUUAUGGCAUGAUUCUUGAAAUUGCAAUAUGCACUAUGUAGGGGGAGGAAAACACUAUACCAGUUAUAAAUACUGAUCAAUACUAACAAGUGAACAAGACCUCUGACUCUGGCCAUAGGUUAGAUUAUCAUUUUUUAAUGAAGCAAAGAAAAGAAAGAGAUGUAAGAUAUUACCCGGUUUGUAGUAAAGAGGACAUGAAGGGAUUCAUUAGCUUUUUGGAGCUACAUGUAAUAUGCAAGGUCCCAAAUGAGAAAUUCUCUUAAUGUGAUAGCUCCAGCAAUUUCACCCAAAAUACUAACAUUAGUAAGGAAGUAGGUUAAAAAGGAAAGAAAAAGAAGGAAAGAGAGACAGAGAAAUUGAGAGAAAGGGGAGGAUAUAAAGACAAAAUGAAGGAAAGAAAAGAGAAAGCAAGUAAGCAAGCUAGGUCGCACUCUCAGAAACCCUCUGAUGGAACUUAUUCUAUCUCGUGAGUCAAAUGAAGACUCUCUCCUGGUACUGGGUUAGUGUUCGAGGGGUGAUUGAUUUAACUCAGGAAAGACCCCCCAGAGAGGUGGGUUUGUUCUACUCAGAGCAGCAGGACUCCCAGCCUGUCUCCUCUGAACUGAUGCACAGUCAGGGACUUCUGGGUCAUCCAUGGAUACCACAGACUCCACUAUGCCCCUUUCAGGAGGUAAUUCAAACCUCCUUUCUGGGCAGCAUGAUGUGGGUUAUAAUCCUGAUUUUGCCACUUAAAACCAGUGGGCUACUGGAUAAGUCACAUUACUUCUAGCAGUCUACUUUUUCCUAUGUCCAAAUACUGGGAAUUACAACCCUCCUUGGAAGAGUUGUUGGGAAGAAUGAAAGAGCCAGACUGGAAUUCUUGGUUGAGGGCUUGGCAGGAGAAGUAGCUGGAUACAGGAGACUCCUUCCCAGUACCUUUCUUCUUCCUCACCAUAGUUGGUAUUAGUGGAGAUGCCCUGGGCCGCUCCUGCUGAGAUUAUCCUGGGCCUGGGAUCAUGGGCAAGAAUACAGAUGUAUGCACACCUAGGGCAGAGCAGUGGGAGAGGUCCACCCAAUGACAGCAACAGGGGUGCUAAUCUUCAAAGCCAUUUAAAACAACAAUCGAAUGAAUGGAAGUGGGAUCUGCCUCAUAUUAUCAUCCUGGGCCCCCAAUCCUAAAUGAUGUUCUGAUAAAAUACUUUUUCCUGUUUUAUUUAAUGAUCUAAAUGUUAGGCAAUAGUUAUGGUUACUGUUGAAUUUACACACACACACACACAUACGCACACACUUCAGAUCGGCAUAUCUUAUUAUUUAUCUUAAAUAAGCAUUGUUUUCUAUGAAGUUAAUCCAGAGACUUCCUGGUUCAAUGAGAAUAAGCUUUUAUUUGGAGAAUUAGUUUAUGAUGGUUUGGAACCAUUUGAGCUUGCAUUGUCCAUUGUACUGCGUAUUCCUGCAUUUAAACAAUGGAUUUGAAAUAAACAAAGAUGGCAAAAAACAAAGAAACAGAACUGGAAUUGCCUCUUUUCUGUCAUCCUAUGUGAACAGUUUGAGUGUGUUUAAAAUUCGAAACAAUUUUCAAGUUGUUAAUUAUGUUUUUGUUAAGUAUAUUUUUGUUAAGUAUGGGACGUAAUUACGAGGCAUAUCUUUGUCAAGUGUAAACUAGUUCAUACAUGGAGUAUUUUUACUAAGUGUGAACAACAUCUUUAAAAUUAAA